RNAcentral lists this long non-coding RNA (238 nucleotides) under Vigna radiata. RNAcentral describes it as "long non-coding RNA (VRAD_LNC016638)". Lineage: Eukaryota; Viridiplantae; Streptophyta; Magnoliopsida; Fabales; Fabaceae. The record is from RNAcentral.
GAAUUCUGGUGAAAGAUGAAUAAGCCACUCCCAUGCUGCUUCUUCUAAUGAAUGCGGAAAUGCCCUUAAAAACAUGUGAUCAUCAGGGACAUGAAGAGGUUUCUUUGAAGAGCAAAUGGUGUAGAACUCCUCCAAAUGUCUAUGUGGGCAUUCACCUGCAAACCCAUGAAACCUAGGCAGCAAAUCUGUAAGUCCAGAGGUGAGAACGCAAUGAACAUCAACCUCAUCAAGUGGAACC